Molecule: long non-coding RNA, 2737 nt
Filed under: Mus musculus (house mouse)
Lineage: Eukaryota; Metazoa; Chordata; Mammalia; Rodentia; Muridae
Description: cardiac hypertrophy associated epigenetic regulator 1
Source: RNAcentral
GACGAGGUGGGGUGGGGGUGGGGCUGCUAGGAAAGCACUGUGGAAUUCAGAGUGAGGAGGGACUGGAGGGAGCUGGGUCUCCAUUCUGCAUUUACUGGGGCCUCACGGAGUGCAGACUCGGUAUUCCAUCGGGCAGUUCUCGGUAAUCUGGUAACACGUGUCCGAUGCCAGUUCCAGUUCUCUGGUUGAAUCUGAUAGGUACAGAUCCCAAACCCAUGUUGGACAUGGUGUGGGCAGGAUAACCUGGCAGGCCUGGGAGUCAAAUGAAGAGAGGAGCUGAGGGCUGCUGCAAAAGUCUCAGGAUGGCUGACUUGUCUCCUUCUGAAGUUUCUAGACUUGACUCUGACACAAAGGCCUUUGGGAGAACAGACUCAAGGGACAAGGGGUGAUGCUUCGCUUCCCUCAUUGGAGCCCCUUUCAGAGGGGAAAACUCACAGGCAGGAACCUGCGUGCCAGCCCUGACCCAGAGCAACAGUGAACAGUCCCCGCUGUGUUCCACAGCGCUCAUCCAGAAACACUGCGGGGUUUCCAUCACAUUCUGCAGUCCACAGGAAACCUGGAAGCUGAGUCUUUUUCUUCUGUGAUCUCUGCCUCCCCUGCUGGCCUGUGCUCUAUGGGAGCUCAUUAGCUGAACCCCAGGACCAAGGACAAGCAAGCAGGGCUGAAUAGAGACUUUAUGAACAGCUGCUACUCCGUGGUGUUGUCUCCUUGUGAAGAAAGGGGUGAGCCUGGAAGUAGAAAGCAGGGGAUUUGGUUUUGUUAUUGCGUAAUCUUCCUGGAAGGCGGGCGAGGGGGGUGGUAAGAAGAGCAUUUGUCACUUGAACUGUCUGCUUGGGACAGUAUUCCCUGACCCCUUUCCAGGACUUCCAUAACUUGGCACUGAGUUGGCCCUUAAGUUGGCAAACAAACCUUGGCACUGAGCAACACUUAAGAGGUAGAAAGAAUGUUUUCAUGCCUUCAGCAGCUCCAGCAGACUCUGAAGGCUGAGCGGUAGCAGUUCUAUCGCCUGCCAUCCAGCCCCAGAGUAGAAGGGUCCGGCAUCUCCAGCCAGGUAGCCUGUAUGUCAGGCUCACAUAGGCUAUGUAUGGCAUCUCCAUCUCGGGAGAACAAGCGUUGAUGCUUCAGUUCUGGCCUCGUCAUUACCAAUGUCCUUCAAUGGUCCCUCUUUACUCUGAGGGGAGCAGAAAAGGGGGUCUCAUUUGGAUGCCAUGAGAUAAGCUAAUUUCUAGAACCUUCUCUAUCUUCUGUCAGUUCUAGUUUGGAUUAGCGAUUAGCUGUCAGAACCAGACAGACAACUCUACUCAGACAAGUACCAGAUGGGGAGCGCUGAGUCCUCGGGUGCCGAAGGGACCUCAGAUGAUUCCUACAGGGCCUGUGCUUUCUUCCCCUGCUUAGAGAACAGCACAUAGGUCCUUAGCGGCUUGCACAUAAACAUAAAUGAAAGAUCUUUAGCCCCAUAAGAAAGAAAAAAUAAACAAAAAACCCUGAGCAGCCUGGUUUGGGAUAAAAACAUGCAGUGUACAUGAUUUUUGUAAAAAUUAACUUUGGCCAGAGCACUUGGGAAGCAAGCAGCAUCUAAGCUGAGACAGGCAGUCAUGCCUGAAAACCUGUCUAGUUGACAAGCAUAUGCAAAUGAGGAAAGAGGGAGGCCUCCCUGGUCCUAGUCAGCAGGCUAGGCUGACGGCCAUGACAGGCUUCAAACUGACAGUUAAGGAGACUAGGCCUAAACCUCUGUUUCCAAGACCUGGGAAAUUCUUGGCGAGUCCAGGCCUGCCUCAGAAGGUGCCCCACCACCUGGCCUGAGGCAAGGACAAUGGAUGAGUCAGCUGCAGUUUCCAGAUCGACUCCCCCUAGCAAGUUUCCAGCCCCUCACACCUCAGUAAUGGAAUGUCUAUAGAGAUGGACCCAACAGAUUAACGUAGAGGUCACCUACCCCAGAAUUCCCUAAUGUGCUUUAAAUCAGGCCUGUAAGCUCACUUGGUUGACUCUCUCUGUUCUGGUAAUGGGAGAGCCCAGCAUGCUGGACUACAGAAUAAAACACUCUUUGUGUCUAUAUACUAUUCAAGUCCGGGCUUUCGUUCUUUGUGGAAAUAUGGACCCUUACAGUAGGAAGGAGGUAGCCUAGCAUGGUGUGAGGUACUGGGACAGAGCAAAGAGUCUUCCAGAGAAGAGGGUGAGAAGAGACUCUUGGCUCCAUGAAAAAGCUAAAGCCAGCAAGAACAUAAGGCGGGAACUUGAACAGUGUCAGAGCUGUGAGCUGAUCUGUGGGGUUUCUGCCCCUGGCUAGUGACGUAGCCCGGAGGAGUCCUUGCCACCCAUGCCUUCGGGUAGAGGAGGAGUAGGAUUUGCAGAGCGUUCAGAGCUUCAUCCUGGUACCAAGGCCCUUACCCACAGCUUUGCGGUGCUUGUCAUUAUGUACCCACAGUAAACCACAAUCCAAAAGUAUCAAAUGGGAAACUCUAAAAAUAAAUAACUCAAGAACUUGACAUUGCGGCCUCUGUCAGGAACUCUGCUCCCAUCAGCUCCCUCUGACUCCCGGAUGGGAAUUAUUCCCUCGUGCAGUAUAACCUCACCCUGCCCAUCAGCGCUUACUUCGUUCCCAGCCGUUUCAGCUCUCAGGCCUACUGUGGGGUUACAGUAAUCUAGAUCCACAUUAUGUUUAUGUUGUUGAUCUUGAGUUGUGCUUAAUUUUACUUAUUAAACUUAUUCUUACUAUGGGUAUCCAUAGGAAAACACA